Molecule: ribosomal RNA, 478 nt
Filed under: uncultured bacterium
Lineage: Bacteria
Description: partial 16S ribosomal RNA
Rfam family: Bacterial small subunit ribosomal RNA
Source: RNAcentral
GACGAACGCUGGCGGCGUGCUUAACACAUGCAAGUCGAACGGGAUUUCGUAAACAGAAACCUCGGUGGAAGAUUACUAAUGAGAGUGGCGAACGGGUGAGUAACGCGUGAGCAACCUGCCUAUGACAGUGGGAUAGCCUCGGGAAACCGGGAUUAAUACCGCAUAAAAUCGUAGAAACACAUGUUUUAACGGUCAAAGAUUUAUCGGUCAUAGAUGGGCUCGCGUCUGAUUAGCUAGUUGGUGAGAUAACAGCCCACCAAGGCGACGAUCAGUAGCCGGUCUGAGAGGAUGAACGGCCACAUUGGAACUGAGACACGGUCCAAACUCCUACGGGAGGCAGCAGUGGGGAAUAUUGCACAAUGGGGGAAACCCUGAUGCAGCGACGCCGCGUGAACGAAGAAGGUAUUCGUAUCGUAAAGUUCUGUCCUAUGGGAAGAUAAUGACAGUACCAUAGAAGAAAGCUCCGGCUAAAUACGUG